This 497-nucleotide ribosomal RNA is filed under the name uncultured bacterium. RNAcentral describes it as "partial 16S ribosomal RNA". It matches the Rfam family "Bacterial small subunit ribosomal RNA", at positions 28 to 507 of the family's 1533-position model. The record is from RNAcentral.
GAUGAACGCUGGCGGCGUGCCUAAUACAUGCAAGUCGAGCGAACAGACGAGGAGCUUGCGCCUCUGACGUUAGCGGCGGACGGGUGAGUAACACGUGGAUAACCUACCUAUAUGACUGGGAUAAUUUCGGGAAACCGGAGCUAAUACCGGAUAAUAUAUUGAACCGCAUGGUUCAAUGGAGAAAGACGGCUUUGCUGUCUCUAAUAGAUGGAUCCGCGCCGCAUUAGCUAGUUGGUAAGGUAACGGCUUACCAAGGCUACGAUGCGUAGCCGACCUGAGAGGGUGAUCGGCCACACUGGAACUGAGACACGGUCCAGACUCCUACGGGAGGCAGCAGUAGGGAAUCUUCCGCAAUGGGCGAAAGCUUGACGCAGCAACGCCGCGUGAGUGAUGAAGGUCUUCGGAUCGUAAAACUCUGUUAUUAGGUAAGAACAGAUGUGUAAGUAACUAUGCACGUCUUGACGGUACCUAAUCAGAAAGCCCCGGCUAACUACGUG